Molecule: long non-coding RNA, 813 nt
Filed under: Helianthus annuus (common sunflower)
Lineage: Eukaryota; Viridiplantae; Streptophyta; Magnoliopsida; Asterales; Asteraceae
Source: RNAcentral
CGAUCUCCCUACCCUCGUCUGCUAUUUUGGAUUGUGGUGUGACGGAGGGUAUAAUGUUGGGAGAUUGAAGAGUUUGAUAAGGUCAGAUGGUGCUAAUUACACUGCCGAGUUAGAGGAGUUGUAUGCUGCUACCCAAUGUGUCAAAUUCGCAAAGCCUUAGUUCUUCAUACCAAAUACUAUCCCGAUGGCAUUCCCGUCACAAUCAUUGAUACUCCAUCCAGUCGAACAAAAGAAGCACGGACUUCGCGAUAGGCUACUUAUCUAGGUUAAGCUUUGUUUCGAUUGUGACAAGCGGAUUUGGAAUCCAAACCAUUCAAAGAGCCGAUUUUAGAACUUGAAUUUGAUUUUGAAAGGCGAAGGUCAACUAAGAAUGAUCAUGGGAGGUUGGAACUUGGAAUGAUUAUUGGUCUGUCUUUGGGAGGUUUCCUUGCACAUGUUUAUAUCUUCAAUUGUCAUCAUCAUCAUCAGAUGAAGAUGCUUUCUUCACUUCACAUGUGACGUCCCGGUAAGGCUGGUUUGGAUAAUCAGAUGGAGUUGAAGGUCAAGACUGUUUAAGCAUCUGCAUAUCUUAACGGAACGUUCUGCUUGUAACAAGAGGUAUGGUCUAAGCAGAUGGGAAAGGUACAUAAAAGAAGUUGGGUUAUCGACUGGUUACAAGUAUGUUUUCAGGAUCAUCAAGAAAGAUUGUAUGUUGUUAAAUUCAGUAGCAUAGGUUACAACAAAUAAUGGUACAGUUAAAACCGAAACCUUUUAGGCAUUUUACCUUCUGAACUUUGCUCAUGUUUCGAUGAAUGGUUAUAAACAUGUUUUUUU